Megalobrama amblycephala (Wuchang bream) is the source of this 4631-nucleotide RNA transcript. It is a transcript of the gene named tripartite motif containing 35-12, with no coding region annotated. NCBI's taxonomy places the organism in Eukaryota, Metazoa, Chordata, Actinopteri, Cypriniformes, Xenocyprididae. The transcript is spliced from 7 exons. The record is from RefSeq and is a predicted model, not a curated record.
GAUGUGACUACAGUGGUUAAACCUUAAUGUUAUGAAGUGACAAGAAUACUUUUUGUGCGCAAAAACAAAACAAAAAUAACAACUUUAUUCAACAAAUUAAUCUCUUACGCUUCCAGGUUUUAUGUCAGAAUGCCAACUCAUUAUUGGCCUGGCUUUGUUUUUGUGCACAAAUUAUUCUCGUCGCUUCAUAAAAUUAGGGUUGAACCACUGCAGUCACGUCAACUGUUUUAGCAAUGUCUUUAGUACCUUUCUGGACCUUGAAAAUGUUGGUUAAAUUGCUAUGGAUGAGUUAGACACCUCAGAUUUCAUCAAAAAUAACUUAAUUUGUGUUCAGAAGAUGAACGAAGGUCUUACAGGUGUGGAACAAUAUGAGGGUGAAUAAUUAAUGACAUAAUUUUUAUUUUUAGGUGAACUAAAAAAAACACGUUUGCUAUGUUUUCCACAUAAGUUACUUUGUGUAAAUGUCCCUGCAGCCUUUGCAAAGUGUUUGCUCUCGUGCAACCUCUCACACACUGCCUCUGAGUUCCCAAAACAAUAAUGCUUACACCAAACAUUUCACGGAUCAGUGGCAAAGGUCGUUUUCCCCUUGAGCACCAGUUGAUCCAGUAAUGAACCAAGACCAAAUAUUAGACUACUGUAAAAACAAAAGGCGGAAAAAAAUAAAGUGGACAAGGUGUGGUCAAAGACUGACUUCUGAGAAUUUUAUGAUGGCAAUUUAAGGAUUGUCACAGCACUAUAAAAGGUCAUUAUUUGGCGAAGGACGGCCUUGUUCUUGGGACGUGUGGGUGCUUGUUGGGAGUUUUGUGACCUUGCUGAAAGAGUGGCAACAAACACUGCAGGUGUAGCUUGGGCUCAUCAAGUUUUCGCAUCAAAAGCGAGUGGACUUCACUUCAGCAACACCAGACAGCCAUGCCCUUACGACCGAGGGCUUCCUCUCAACCUGGAAGAGCGAACACCCUUCCAUCCCUUAAAAACAUCACACUUCUGCGCCCCAGAGCUUCGUCGUCUCACUCGAAGUCGCCUUUAGAGGAUGAGCUCUCUUGUCCGGUCUGCUGCGAGGUCUUCACCGACCCCGUGGUCCUGAAGUGCAGCCACAGUUUCUGCCGUGCCUGCCUUCAGCAGUUCUGGAACAGAAAGGCGGCCAAGAGGGAAUGUCCAGUUUGCAGGAGGAAGAGCUCUCUGACGGAGCCCACCGUGAGUCUGGCUCUGAAGAACGUGUGCGAUGCCAUCUUACAGGAGCAGAAAAGUCAAGGGUCUGCGAGAGCCGGCUCAGUUUUAGCCAACGGGACGCCCAAACCGGAGGCUCUUUGUGCUACUCACGGGGAGGGACUCAAAUUGUACUGCCAAAAUGAUGAAGAAGUUCUCUGCUGUGUUUGUCAAACGUCUAAGAAACAUCAAGGCCACAGUGUGUGUCCUUUGGAAGAGGCAGCAAACGAUCUCAAGGAGGAAAUGCGGCAGAUUGUCAUCCCACUUAAGAAAAGUCUUAGACGCCUCUAUGAGGCCAAACAAGAAUGUGAUGACAUAACCGUCCACAUCAAGAACCAAAGACAACAGACAGAGAAACAAAUUCAUGAGGAGUUUGCAGAGCUUCAACAAUUUCUUUUGAAGGAGGAAGCUGCUAGGAUUGCUCUUCUGGGAGAAGAAGAAGAGGCAAAGAAACAGACGAUGAAGAAAAAAACUGACAUAAUCACUCGUGAUAUACUCACGUUUUCUCAGGCUGUCAUGGCCAUUGAAAAUGAGAUUGCUAGUGACGACAGCCUCUUUUUACAGAACUACAAGAAUGUCAAGAUGAGAGCUCAGAUAACGUUUCACGAACCAGAAGCCGUCCCUGAAUCUCUAAUCGAUGUUGCGGAGCACAUCACCUCCCUGAAGUUCAGAGUGUGGGAAAAAAUGCAGAGUCUGGUGGAAUGCACUCCAGUGACGCUGGACCCCAACACAGCCUACCCCUGUUUGUCUCUAAGCAAGAAUCUAACGAGUGUGUCCAACACGGGGGUGAUAAAAGAGUUGCCUGAUAACCCUGAGCGCUUUGACCACUUUGUUUUUGUACUGGGCUCCAAGGGUUUCACCUCCGGAUGCCAUUCCUGGGAGGUGGAGGUGGGCCAAAAUAAUGACUGGGUAAUAGGUGUGGUUAAAGAAUCCAUAGCCAGGAAAGGCAAAAUCUCUGGCUGUCCAGAAGGAGGAUUCUGGACCAUCGCUCUCUCUGAUGGGAAGUACACGGCCAUGACCACCCCCCACACACCGCUCAAGCUGAAGGGACACCUGGAAAGGGUCCGGGUUAAGAUCGACUAUGAUGCUGGAGAGGUCAGCUUCUUUGACUCAGUGGACGUCACACCCAUCUACACAUUUAAUGACCACUUUACUGAGAGGAUGUUCCCUUUUUUCUGUCCGGGGGCAAAUAUAAAUGGGAACAAUCCAGGGCCGCUGAAGAUCUGCCCUGUGAGGGUGGCAGUAUGGAACAGUGCCUCCUGGUGACAGUUAGCUGUACGGCAGCUUUAUUUGUGUAUUUGUACUCCAGUUAUACAGCACCAGUCAAAGUGAAGUUCAUGAGGUGCAUUCUGGGAUGCAUAUUCACAUGUAUGCUUGAAACCAACUAAUCUAAAUUGUCCAUUUUGGGAAUCAAAAUAAAUUUUUAAUUUGAACCAUUUGUAGUUAAGCACAGUCAUGUCAUUUUCUUUUGCGUCAGAGCUGUCCAGUAAAUUACCUGUUGAGACUCAUUUUCUGAUGUAAUAGAAUCUCUUAUCUACACUCUUAAAAACAAAGGUUCUUUAUUGGCAUUGAUGGUUCCAUGAAGAAUCUUUAACUUCCAUGGAAUUCUUCCAUUGCACAAAAGGUUAUAUGUAGUGAAAAAAAAGGUGUCAGGGUUGGGUGAAGGGAUGAGAUGAGGAGGCUUUUUAUUUGUUAAUAAAAACAAAAACAAACAAUGGCGACAGGAAAAGGCUUAGCAGGGAUAGACACGAUUGGUAUAUACAAUGAUGACGCACUGGCACAGGACUGCAAACACAAAUAAAUAGGAGAGCAAAUAAAGCAGGUAACGAGUGAGGACAGAUAGGGCAAAUGAACCAAUAAUCAGAUAACAAGAAGGGCGGGGUUAGACAAUAAACAGGACAGCACAUGGCACAUAGAAACGCAUAUGACAAGCCAUGUGCUCACACCAAACAUAAAAACAAGAGCACGUGGUCAACAAACACAAUCAAAAACCAUGUGCUCAAACAAAACAAGACGCAAACAUGCAGCCAAUGCAAGCUCUCACCGACUGCGUGUCUACAUAGCACAAGAUAAGAAGAAAGCAGACAGCCAAUAUAAACAUGAACUGUGUGCUAAUCCAAACACAACACAUACACACAUAGAAGAGUGAACGGCCAAAGUUAGGUUGAAAUGACACACUUAACGGCUAGAUGAAACAUUCCAAGACUAAUUUGAACACACUAUAUGAUUUUGACUGUAAACACUGACUAAACGCAACUGGCACUGACUCAGUGCGUUUGGGCAUGAUCAGUCGUAAGUAUAAAAUUUGACUUUACAAUCUUUAAGUGUGUCCCUGACUUCAGGGCUCUGCCUCCAAACAAGAAUAAACCAGACCAAAGUGACAACAUUUUCUAUAGGUUUGUAAAAUGUUACAAAAAAACAUGGUUCUUUUAAGAACUGUUCACCGAAACAUUCUUUGGGGAACCAAAAUGAUUGUUUAUUUUGGAACCUUAUUUUUAAGAGUGUAUUAUCCUCACUGAGGCUAAUUAUGAUGACAGAUUUUCCUCCACUGUGGACUCAUGCUGGCAUCCCAGUUUAGGCUUUCACCCUUGUAUGCUGCAACAGUAAAGACAGACUCUUCAAAAUUUCUUGGAGAGACCGAGCAAAAAUAAGCAUGCCCACUCUUUAUAUAGUAGUUGUCAACCCAUGUUGAUUACGUUCAUGGCACAAACUGACCAAAACUGAUUUAUCAGUUACUUCUCAGAACUGAAGUCCCCAUUAUCAGUGUCCACCCAACAACGGCUAGCCUCAUAUUCUUAGCCAAAACACAUCACUUAUUUUUCUUCUAAAGUGUCUCUGCCACAUUAUACCCACAAUUCCCAAACAUGUCUUCAUAAAAGCAAAACAGAGUAAAAAAAGUAAAAUACAAAAUUUCCUGACCUGCAAAACUAAUUUUAAGCAUAAGACUUUAGAUCAACAGGUUUUGAAGCUCAUGAGAAAUGUAGUCAAAUGUGUGCAAACCAUUGGUUGGUAGUUUUAUGUAUUAUAUGUUUGUAUAAUUUACAGAUAUUUACAUUUACCUCCUAUAUAAAUGUCACUAUGUAACAAAAUGUCAAAUCAGAAAAGUCAUUUGUAUUUAUUGUGCUUUUCACAAUGCUACGUUUAAUUCAAGUCUUAUUAGCUUGGUAAACCCAGUAGAUGUAUGUAAUAAUUUAUGAAAUUGAAGGUUUUUUUUCAUCAAAAUGUAAAAUAAAUUAUUGUCUAUAAGGUAGAUCCCAUAUAGUUUGCUGAGGUGCAUGUAGUAGCAUAGAAAUGCUACCAGAAAAUACAACAUUAAAUACUAAAUAUGUGAAGUAUUGGUGUUUUUUUCCAAAAUGGUGAAUGACAAAUUAUAAAGUUUGGAAAAAAUGACAAUAUUGCAGUAUUGUUUGUUUAGUUAGUUUUAU